This 560-nucleotide long non-coding RNA is filed under the name Saimiri boliviensis boliviensis (Bolivian squirrel monkey). Its description in RNAcentral is "lncRNA (ENSSBOG00000036490.1)". The record is from RNAcentral. Lineage: Eukaryota; Metazoa; Chordata; Mammalia; Primates; Cebidae.
UCCAUCCAAAGAAAGCACAGACAGUAUCUAUGUGUUUGUUCUAGGCAAUGGCGAAAAACUCAGAGCCAGAACCAGAGGAACGGUUGAACCACAGCCCCAAAGUAGAACUCCAGCCUGUCCACAAGAGCGCCCUGCCUGAUCCUCGGGCUCUUGGAAUUCCUGCAGAGAAGAGCAGGGUGGCCAGCAGAUAGUGAGCAGCUCCCAGGAGCUAGCAACACUUGGCGAUUUGGCUGUAUAUGUGUCCUAGGAGGCACAGAGGGAGCCAGAUCCUGGACAAAAGAACCACCUAGAAAUAACUUGGCAGAAUUCUGAAAAUGAGGUCAUGCUGGGUAAGAAUACCAUUUUUUUUUUUUUCUCAUAGUCAAAGUUAGCUACGGAGUUUCUGUAGUAUUCACUACUCCAGACCUUUUUCAGGUUGAAUUUUUUCUCUCUUUUUCCCUGUCUGUCCUUAUGUUUUUAAACUUUUAUUUCAAUAGUUUUUGGGGAACAAGUAGUAUCUGGUUGCAUGGAAAAGUUCUUUAGUGGUGAUUUCUGAGAUUUUGGCACACCCAUCACCCAAG